Small nucleolar RNA from Tachyglossus aculeatus (Australian echidna), 138 nucleotides. Lineage: Eukaryota; Metazoa; Chordata; Mammalia; Monotremata; Tachyglossidae. The record is from RefSeq and is a predicted model, not a curated record.
ACCCUCUCAGGGUCGCACCUGGAGAAUUUCCAUUACUCUACGAGUCUCGACUAUGGGAGGAAGAGUCAAGCAGAGGCCUUCCCAUUCCAUUCCUAGCUUGGGCAGUGGCUAACGAGUGGAAGGCAGUCUGCUUCAAGU